Molecule: ribosomal RNA, 558 nt
Filed under: uncultured bacterium
Lineage: Bacteria
Description: bacterial SSU rRNA
Rfam family: Bacterial small subunit ribosomal RNA
Source: RNAcentral
GGCGUCCGGGUGAGUAACACGUAGCUGACCUGCCCUUCGCUGGGGGAUAACGUUCCGAAAGGAAUGCUAAUACCGCGUACGCACGUGGGGUUUAGAAGCCCACGCGGAAAGCCUUAGGGCGGCGAAGGAGGGGGCUGCGCUCCAUCAGCUAGUUGGUGAGGUGAAGGCUCACCAAGGCGACGACGGAUAGGGGACCUGAGAGGGUGACCCCCCACACUGGGACUGACAUACGGCCCAGACUCCUACGGGAGGCAGCAGUAAGGAAUAUUGCGCAAUGGACGCAAGUCUGACGCAGCAACGCCGCGUGCGGGAUGAAGGUCUUCGGAUCGUAAACCGCUUUUGUGAGGGAAGAGACAGGACGGUACCUCACGAAUAAGUCUCGGCUAACUACGUGCCAGCAGCCGCGGUAAAACGUAGGAGGCAAGCGUUAUCCGGAUUUACUGGGCGUAAAGCGCGUGCAGGCGGUUUCCUCAGUCGUGCGUGAAAGCUCCCUGGCUUAACCGGGAGAGGUCGUGCGAUACUGGGAAGCUAGAGACAGAGAGAGGCAAGUAGAAUUCC